GGCCCGGUGGCGGAAUUGGCAGACGCUGGGGACUUAAAAUCCCCUGUCCUUCGGGACGUGUGGGUUCGAACCCCGCCCGGGCCA
This 84-nucleotide transfer RNA is filed under the name Phycisphaerae bacterium. Its description in RNAcentral is "tRNA-Leu". It matches the Rfam family "tRNA". From Rfam's summary of the family: Transfer RNA (tRNA) molecules are approximately 80 nucleotides in length. Their secondary structure includes four short double-helical elements and three loops (D, anti-codon, and T loops). Lineage: Bacteria; Pseudomonadati; Planctomycetota; Phycisphaerae. The record is from RNAcentral.